Molecule: ribosomal RNA, 253 nt
Filed under: uncultured bacterium
Lineage: Bacteria
Description: partial 16S ribosomal RNA
Rfam family: Bacterial small subunit ribosomal RNA
Source: RNAcentral
UACGUAGGGUGCGAGCGUUGUCCGGAAUUAUUGGGCGUAAAGAGCUCGUAGGCGGUUUGUUGCGUCGGCCGUGAAAACCUGCAGCUUAACUGUGGGCCUGCGGCCGAUACGGGCAGACUUGAGUUCGGUAGGGGAGACUGGAAUUCCUGGUGUAGCGGUGAAAUGCGCAGAUAUCAGGAGGAACACCGGUGGCGAAGGCGGGUCUCUGGGCUGACACUGACGCUCAUGCACGAAAGCGUGGGGAGCAAACAGG